ACAUAAUUUCUAAGCUGGUAUUGGAUGACGAGAGGGAAAUUACGGAUGAGUCAAAGAUAAAUGAGAAUGCCACUUGGUUUUUUCAGGAGCUCUUCACAACAAAGGCAAUUGGAGAUUCAAGUCAUUUGUUAACAUGCAUUGUAGGUAGCAUCUCUCAAGAGGCAAAUGAAGUUUUAUUAUCUCCCUUCAGGGAAGAAGAGAUUUGGAUAGCAUUAAAAGGGAUGGGACCCACCAAAGCACUUGGACCGGAUAGGUUUCCAACAAUGUUUUUUCAGAGGUACUGGCGUAUAGUAGGGAAAGAAGUCAUUGAUUAUUGCUUGGGGAUUUUGAAUAACAACGAGAAGGUUGCCUCAUUUAAUAAUAUAGACAUUGUGCUUAUCCUAAAACUUCCAAGGCCCACUAAACUUGUGAAUUUCAGGUCUAUUAGUCUGUGCACAAUCAUGUACAAAAUUGUGGCAAAAACUAUAGCAAACCGCUUGCAAUAGGUCAUUGGCAGAUGUGUCGACAAGGUACAAAAUGUUUUUUCCCAAUGCGACUUAUUUCAGACAAUGUGAUUUUAGCUUAUAAAAUUCUACACACAUUCCGUCAAGAGCGUACAGGGAAAAAAUGACUUAUGGCAGUGAAGCUUGACAUGAGUAAGACAUAUGAUAAAGUUGAGUGGGAUUUUAUAAAAGAAGUGAUGUUAAAAAUAGAGUCUGCAAGCAAAUGGGUGGGGCUCAUAAUGAGGUGCAUUUCAACAACUUAUGUGGUUAAUAUCAAUGGAAUUAAAGGUAAACUUUUUCAACCUACUAGGUGACUCUGACAAGGUGACCCAUUGAGUCCGUUUCUUUUUCCUACAUGCAGUGAGGGUCUUUCAUCGUUAUUGAGAAUUGAAAAGAAUGAGGGUCUGUUGAAGGGCGUAAAAGGGAGUAGGAGAGGGCCAGAGAUAACUCAUUUAUUAUUUGCAGACGAUUGCAUGAUGUUUGGUGAAGCAACAGAAAGGGGGUAAUGGUUUUGAAAGACAUACUCAAUGAAUAUGAAAGUUGUUCGGGUCAAUGUGUGAACUUCAGUAAAUCAACGAUUUUUUUAUAGCUCGAAUACUACAGAAGAUAAAAAAGAAGUGUCUUCAUUGCUAGGAGUAAAGAUCUCAACAAAUCCCGAAAAGUAUCUAGGACUUCCUAAUGUGGUGGGCAGAAGGUUGGAGUACGAGAUUGCUGUCUCAAGGGGGAAAGAAGGUAUUUAUUAAAUCAGUAUUACGGCUAUACCAACCUGUGCUAUGUCUUGUUUCCUUUUACCUAACUCUUUAUAUGGGAUGUUUGAAAGCAUUUUUGCUAAGUUUUGGUGGCAAAAAGGGUUUGGGAAUAGAGGAAUUCAUUGGUGUCAGUGGAGAUACUUGUGUCGACCUAAAAAUGAAGGAGGAUUGGGGUUCAGAAAUAUGGCUCAGUUCAAUAGAGCUCUUUUGGCAAAACAAGGAUGGAGACUUCUAGUUAAUCUGAAUUCAUUAAUAGCGCAAGUUUUGAAAGCGAAGUAUUUUCCAGAAAAUAAUUUUCUUAAUUCGUGUUUGGGGAAUCAGAGUUCGUAUGCAUGGCGUAGUAUAUGGGCGGCUAAGGGUUUAUUGGAGAAAGGUCUAAUUUGGAAAGUUGGCACGGGUACGAGUAUUUCAAUUAGAAAUGAUAUAUAGAUUCCAGAUUAUAGGAAUUUAAGAUUAUCGACUGUUAAUAUUGAUUUGCGAUUUGAUACAGUUGCUGAGCUAAUCAAUAAUAAUGAAAGAACUGGAAUAGAGAAUUGAUAGUUAAUACCUUCCCAGAAGAAGUAGCUGAAUUGAUCCUUCGUAUACCCUUGGCGAUGGAACCUCAAACAGACUUUUUGGCUUGGAACAGAGAACUUUCGGGAGAUUUUUCAGUUCGGAGUGCCUACAAACUAUUACAAAGUGGUGAUCCUAGAGCUUACAUUGUACAAAACGUCUAUAGGGAUUUUUACAAAAAAACUCGGGUGCAUAGAUCUACCUACUAAGAUUAAAAUUACAAUCUCCAAAAUCGCUUGGAACUAUCUGCCUACUCGGGCAAACAUGUUAAUUAGGAGACUAGCAAAUAACUCAACAUGCCCUCGAUGUGGUGUGGAAGCAGAAACAAUGGACCACCUAUUAAGAAAAUGUUCUGUGUUAGUGUCAGUGUGGGAAGCAUUAUCUGUCUCUAAUUUUAUACAGUGGACAAACUUAAGAGUUUGAGGAGUGGCUCACCAAAGUCUUUGAUUUUCUCUCUCGAGAUCAGUGCAGAAUCUUUUUUGGUGUGCUUUGGGCCAUUUGGGGAGAUCGUAAAGCUCGAAUACAUGAAAACACAAAUAGAUCAGGUCACGAGACAGCAAAAUAUAUUCAAAGUUUUUUACAUGAACUUGAUGGGGCUGGUAAAAAUACCCAUAAUGAUCCUAAGGUUGAUGUUAAAUGGAAUCACCCACCUGGGUAGGUAGUAAAAAUAAAUUUUAAUGGGGCUUAAGACGAGAGGAACCACCAACCGGCGUCAGGGAUCGUGGUCAGAGACAGCAAAUACCAUUUUCUCAUCUCUUGUACAGAAUUUCAUAGAGGGGUGGCUUCUUCUUUUGUCGCAGAAGCUAUCGCUUGUCGAAGGGCAAACUAGAUUGGUCUCGCAAUGCAACGACCAGAAACCAUUAUAGAAGGUGAUUCGUUAUUGAUAAUAAAGAAAUGCAAGGGUGUAAAGCUAGAUAAAUCGCAAAUAGGGCCUUACAUACAUGAUAUUCACGAGAUGAAGUCCAGAGCCAGAAAGUUAAGAUUUGAAUAUAUCCCAUGAUCAGCGAAUGGUCUAACCCACAUUUUAGCAACAGAAUCGCUUAAGAGGAGAGAAGAGAUGUACAGAAGGCAUGAUGAGAAGUGAGAGUGUACAAGAGCCGGAUUGAAGAAAUGAAAAGAAUGAAGAAAGGGGGAGAGUUUCAAAAUGAAACAGAUCAACAGCCUUAGAGAUAAGAUCCCCUUGGUAACUGAUGUUGCCAUUAAAGAUUGAAUUGACAGAUGAGAUGGAGAGUCAGGCGUCAAACUUUCUAAUUGGGCAAGAGGGCGGUGGCUUUAAUGAUUUCUUUAGUUUUUCUCUUUUAACAAUAAGAACCGUUUUAUUUUUCUUACGGGCCAAUUUGUUUUGGGCCUAAUGUUAUGUUUAGUUUUUUGUAGACUUCAUUUUGAUCUAUAUUGAAGCCCAAUCUGAUUUUGAUUCAAAAAAUAAAUAAUCAACUCAACGUGAAGUGUGAACCAAGAUCCAUACCCCAUAUAUAUAUAUAUGGUGUUAAGAACCUUUUAAAUAAUGGGAAUCAAUUUUUUAAAAUUAAUACAACAUUAAGUAAGUAUAUAACAUAAGCACAAACUUUGAACAAAUUAGCAAGACCAUUUUUUACAGAACCGGAUUAAUUAGAUUAGAAAUCAGUUAUAAUUUAGUUGAACCGUUUCCUCUAUUUUUUAAAUACUUUUAAUAAUUUAUUCAAUUAAUCCAAACAAACCGAUCGAAUCAAAAAUCGAUAGUUUGAUCAGUUCAACCACCCGACUAAUCCUGAAAGCCUUAAACAUGACAUACUAUUAAUAAUUAAUAUACAAAAUGGAAAAUGAAAUAAAUAUGACAUGUGAAAAUAUAUAAAAUUAUUAACGUUUAGAAAAUUCAUUAAAUUUAUAAUGAUAGUAUUUUAAACAUAAAAAAUACAAAAAUUUUAAUUCUUUUUUUUUUCUUUCCCCCACUUCUUACUUCCUAAACUACAAAAGAAAAUAAAAAAAAAACAAGUGCAGGGGACAAAAAUCUAAGCCCAAACUUCUAAAGUGACAUUAUGCAUUUUACUUUUCUAUGUAGUUAUAGAUGUUGAUCAAAAUUAUAUAGUAUUUAUUCUAAAAUUAAAUAAAUUUACUAACUCAUUAAAAUAUUUAAAUAAGCAAAAUUAUAAAAUAAAUAAUUAAGUUAAAAAAAUC
RNAcentral lists this long non-coding RNA (3937 nucleotides) under Gossypium barbadense (sea-island cotton). RNAcentral describes it as "long non-coding RNA (GBAR_LNC010728)". The record is from RNAcentral. Lineage: Eukaryota; Viridiplantae; Streptophyta; Magnoliopsida; Malvales; Malvaceae.